AGCGAACGCUGGCGGCAGGCUUAACACAUGCAAGUCGAACGGGCAUAGCAAUGUGUCAGUGGCAGACGGGUGAGUAACGCGUGGGAACGUACCUUUUGGUUCGGAACAACACAGGGAAACUUGUGCUAAUACCGGAUAAGCCCUUACGGGGCGAGAUUUGUCGCCGAAAGAUCGGCCCGCGUCUGAUUAGCUAGUUGGUAGGGUAAUGGCCUACCAAGGCGACGAUCAGUAGCUGGUCUGAGAGCAUGAUCAGCCACAUUUGGACUGAGACACGGCCCCAACUGCGACGGGAGGCAGCAGUAGGGAAUAUUGGACACUGAGCGAAAGCGUAGUCCAGCCAUGCCGCGUGAGUGAGGAAGGCGCUAGGGUUGUAAAGCCAUUUGGGGCGGGAAGAAAAUGACGGUACCGCAAGAAUAAGCCCCGGCUAACUUCGUG
RNAcentral lists this ribosomal RNA (435 nucleotides) under uncultured bacterium. Its description in RNAcentral is "partial 16S ribosomal RNA". It matches the Rfam family "Bacterial small subunit ribosomal RNA", at positions 29 to 507 of the family's 1533-position model. The record is from RNAcentral.